CCUACGGGUGGCUGCAGUCUAGAGGCUUCGGCAAUGGGGGAAACCCUGACCGAGCGACGCCGCGUGGAGGAUGAAGGUCUUCGGAUUGUAAACUCCUUUCGGCUGGAAAGAAGGGCUUGGUGGCGAACCAGGCUUUGACUGACCAGCGGAAGAAGCCCCGGCUAACUUCGUGCCAGCAGCCGCGGUAAUACGAAGGGGGCAAGCGUUAUUCGGAUUUAUUGGGCGUAAAGGGCGUGUAGGCGGCUUGGGAAGUCUGGUGUGAAAACGCUACCGCU
RNAcentral lists this ribosomal RNA (275 nucleotides) under uncultured bacterium. RNAcentral's name for it is "partial 16S ribosomal RNA". It matches the Rfam family "Bacterial small subunit ribosomal RNA", at positions 338 to 609 of the family's 1533-position model. The record is from RNAcentral.